ACUCAAAUGAAUAGACGGGGGCCCGCACAAGCAGCGGAGCGUGUGGUUUAAUUCGAUGAUACACGAAGAACCUUACCAGGGUUUGACAUACAAGUGGUAGUGAAGCGAAAGCAGAACGACCCUUCGGGGAGCUUGAACAGGUGCUGCAUGGCUGUCGUCAGCUCGUGUCGUGAGAUGUUCGGUUAAGUCCGCUAACGAGCGCAACCCUUGUUGUGUGUUACACGUAUCACGCAAGACCGCCGGUAGAAAGCCGGAGGAAGGUGGGGAUGACGUCAAGUCAGCAUGGCCUAUAUAUCCUGGGCUACACACACGCUACAAUGGUCGGUACAAUGGGUAGCUAAGCCGCGAGGCGGAGCCAAUCCUAAAAAGCCGGUCUCAGUUCAGAUUGCAGGCUGCAACUCGCCUGCAUGAAGAUGGAGUUGCUAGUAACCGCAGGUCAGCGAUACUGCGGUGAAUACGUUCCCGGGCCUUGCACACACCGCCCGU
This 486-nucleotide ribosomal RNA is filed under the name uncultured bacterium. RNAcentral describes it as "bacterial SSU rRNA". It matches the Rfam family "Bacterial small subunit ribosomal RNA", at positions 899 to 1397 of the family's 1533-position model. The record is from RNAcentral.